RNAcentral lists this non-coding RNA (23 nucleotides) under Arabidopsis thaliana (thale cress). Lineage: Eukaryota; Viridiplantae; Streptophyta; Magnoliopsida; Brassicales; Brassicaceae. The record is from RNAcentral.
AGCCGACUCCCGCGUGUGCGAUA